AUGAACGCUGGCGGCGUGCCUAAUACAUGCCAGUCGAGCGAACGGACGAGAAGCUUGCUUUUCUGAUGUUAGCGGCGGACGGGUGAGUAACCCGUGGAUAACCUACCUAUAAGACUGGGAUAACUUCGGGAAACCGGAGCUAAUACCGGAUAAUAUUUUGAACCGCAUGGUUCAAAAGUGAAAGACGGUCUUGCUGUCACUUAUAGAUGGAUCCGCGCUGCAUUAGCUAGUUGGUAAGGUAACGGCUUACCAAGGCAACGAUGCAUAGCCGACCUGAGAGGGUGAUCGGCCACACUGGAACUGAGACACGGUCCAGACUCCUACGGGAGGCAGCAGUAGGGAAUCUUCCGCAAUGGGCGAAAGCCUGACGGAGCAACGCCGCGUGAGUGAUGAAGGUCUUCGGAUCGUAAAACUCUGUUAUUAGGGAAGAACAUAUGUGUAAGUAACUGUGCACAUCUUGACGGUACCUAAUCAGAAAGCCACGGCUAACUACGUG
RNAcentral lists this ribosomal RNA (496 nucleotides) under uncultured bacterium. Its description in RNAcentral is "partial 16S ribosomal RNA". It matches the Rfam family "Bacterial small subunit ribosomal RNA", at positions 29 to 507 of the family's 1533-position model. The record is from RNAcentral.